UCUUAAUAUCAUAAAACAUAUUCAAUCUUGUCUGAUUUCAAAAGUUAACCAGAGCCAGGCCUGGUAAAUACAUGGAUGGGAGACCACUAUGGAAUACUGGUGAUCUUCAGGG
RNAcentral lists this ribosomal RNA (112 nucleotides) under Pogona vitticeps (central bearded dragon). Lineage: Eukaryota; Metazoa; Chordata; Lepidosauria; Squamata; Agamidae. The record is from RNAcentral.